CAGUCGAGCGCGAAGUCCCUUCGGGGGCGAGUAGAGCGGCGGACGGGUGAGUAAUACAUAGGUAAUCUACCUUCGAGCUUGGGAUGACCCCGCGAAAGUGGGGCUAAUACCGGAUAAGACCACGUAACCAUGUUGCGGGGUAAAAGGUGGCUUAUUUUUUAAAUGAGCUGUCACUUGAGGAUGAGCCUAUGGCCUAUCAGCUUGUUGGCGGGGUAAGAGCCCACCAAGGCUAUGACGGGUAGCUGGUCUGAGAGGACGACCAGCCACACUGGGACUGAGACACGGCCCAGACUCCUACGGGAGGCAGCAGUGGGGAAUAUUGGGCAAUGGGCGCAAGCCUGACCCAGCGACGCCGCGUGGGCGAUGAAGGCCUUCGGGUUGUAAAGCCCUGUCAUGCGGAAAGAACGACCCUGUGACGCAUACUCACAGGGAGUGACGGUACCGCAGGAGGAAGCACCGGCUAACUCCGUGCCAGCAGCCGCGGUAAUACGGAGGGUGCAAGCGUUGUUCGGAAUUAUUGGGCGUAAAGGGCGCGUAGGCGGUAAUGUAAGUCAGAUGUGAAAUACUCCGGCUCAACCAGAGAAUUGCAUCUGAAACUGCAUAACUAGAGUACAGAAGAGGGAAACGGAAUUCCCGGUGUAGAGGUGAAAUUCGUAGAUAUCGGGAGGAACACCAGUGGCGAAGGCGGUUUCCUGGUCUGAUACUG
This 706-nucleotide ribosomal RNA is filed under the name uncultured bacterium. RNAcentral describes it as "bacterial SSU rRNA". It matches the Rfam family "Bacterial small subunit ribosomal RNA", at positions 59 to 742 of the family's 1533-position model. The record is from RNAcentral.